CAGUCGCCGCGGUAAUACGUAGGGUGCAAGCGUUAAUCGGAAUUACUGGGCGUAAAGCGUGCGCAGGCGGUUUCGUAAGACAGAUGUGAAAUCCCCGGGCUUAACCUGGGAACUGCAUUUGUGACUGCGAGGCUAGAGUGUGUCAGAGGGGGGUGGAAUUCCACGUGUAGCAGUGAAAUGCGUAGAUAUGUGGAGGAACACUGAUGGCGAAGGCAGCCCCCUGGGAUAACACUGACGCUCAUGCACGAAAGCGUGGGGAGCAAACAGGAUUAGAUACCCCCGUAGUCCCUGUCUCUUAUAC
RNAcentral lists this ribosomal RNA (301 nucleotides) under uncultured bacterium. Its description in RNAcentral is "partial 16S ribosomal RNA". It matches the Rfam family "Bacterial small subunit ribosomal RNA", at positions 509 to 807 of the family's 1533-position model. The record is from RNAcentral.